GAUGAACGCUAGCGGCGUGCCUAAUACAUGCAAGUCGAGCGAACGGACGAGAAGCUUGCUUCUCUGAUGUUAGCGGCGGACGGGUGAGUAACACGUGGAUAACCUACCUAUAAGACUGGGAUAACUUCGGGAAACCGGAGCUAAUACCGGAUGAUAUUUUGAACCGCAUGGUUCAAAAGUGAAAGACGGUCUUGCUGUCACUUAUAGAUGGAUCCGCGCUGCAUUAGCUAGUUGGUAAGGUAACGGCUUACCAAGGCAACGAUGCAUAGCCGACCUGAGAGGGUGAUCGGCCACACUGGAACUGAGACACGGUCCAGACUCCUACGGGAGGCAGCAGUAGGGAAUCUUCCGCAAAGGGCGAAAGCCUGACGGAGCAACGCCGCGUGAGUGAUGAAGGUCUUCGGAUCGUAAAACUCUGUUAUUAGGGAAGAACAUAUGUGUAAGUAACUGUGCACAUCUUGACGGUACCUAAUCAGAAAGCCACGGCUAACUACGUG
This 497-nucleotide ribosomal RNA is filed under the name uncultured bacterium. RNAcentral describes it as "partial 16S ribosomal RNA". It matches the Rfam family "Bacterial small subunit ribosomal RNA", at positions 28 to 507 of the family's 1533-position model. The record is from RNAcentral.